GGGGAUGUUCCGGUUUCGACGGGGUUUUCAAGUUGUGGACGGCGAGCAGAGGAUUCUCGUGGGCCUCUAUAAAAACGAGAAAUUUAAAAUUAAACGCUAACAAUAACGUAGCACUUCAGGCUGCCUAAGCGCGGCCUCGUCGACCUGGUGGUGCAUCGAGCCAUCAGCCCUCGGCGUCAGUAAUUCGGGCCUGUCCGCAGGAUGGUUAAAGCGGAGAACGGCAUCACUUAAGCUUUGCGGUGAUGCGGCUUUUAUGAAGCUACCUUGAUCGAUACCUUGGCUGUUAGGGCUCUAUCCUGGGAAUUUAAAGAAUAGCCUACGCUCGUAGAUGCCUGCAAGGCGGGAAUUUCGGACAGGAGUUCGACUCUCCUCAUCUCCACCA
RNAcentral lists this transfer-messenger RNA (382 nucleotides) under Clostridia. Its description in RNAcentral is "RGIG9099 sp017935905 Standard tmRNA". It matches the Rfam family "transfer-messenger RNA". From Rfam's summary of the family: Bacterial tmRNA, also known as 10Sa RNA or SsrA, is named for its dual tRNA and mRNA-like properties. Its role is to liberate the mRNA from a stalled ribosome. To accomplish this part of the tmRNA is used as a reading frame that ends in a translation stop signal. RNAcentral also lists the same sequence under 1 other name. Lineage: Bacteria; Bacillati; Bacillota. The record is from RNAcentral.